Molecule: long non-coding RNA, 205 nt
Filed under: Vigna radiata
Lineage: Eukaryota; Viridiplantae; Streptophyta; Magnoliopsida; Fabales; Fabaceae
Description: long non-coding RNA (VRAD_LNC007713)
Source: RNAcentral
CAUCUCUCUCAUUCCAACUUCUCUGUCAUCCUUACUGUUGCCCCAAUUGAAAAAAAAAUUCAGAAACCCUUUGUCAUCAAAGAUAUUUUCUCUCUCAUCUCAACAUUUUCUCUGUCAUCAUUCCAACAUUUUUUCUCUUAUCUCAACCCAAUUGAAGAUGGUGGUAGCAUUUGAAUCAGAGAUAUUUUUUAAAAAUUGAAAAANN